RNAcentral lists this ribosomal RNA (258 nucleotides) under uncultured bacterium. Its description in RNAcentral is "partial 16S ribosomal RNA". It matches the Rfam family "Bacterial small subunit ribosomal RNA", at positions 524 to 776 of the family's 1533-position model. The record is from RNAcentral.
UACGGAGGGUGCGAGCGUUUGUCCGGAAUCAUUGGGCGUAAAGGGCGCGUAGGUGGCCACUUCAAGCGUGCGGUGAAAGUUCGGGGCUCAACCCUGAAUCGGCCGUCGAUACUCCCGGGCUCGAGCACUGUAGAGGCAGAUGGAAUUCCGGGUGUAGCGGUGGAAUGCGUAGAGAUCCGGAAGAACACCGGUGGCGAAGGCGGCCUGCUGGGCAGUUUUGCUGACACUGAGGCGCGACAGCGUGGGGGAGCAAACAGG